This 78-nucleotide microRNA precursor is filed under the name Medicago truncatula (barrel medic). RNAcentral describes it as "MIR5286 microRNA precursor family". It matches the Rfam family "MIR5286 microRNA precursor family". Lineage: Eukaryota; Viridiplantae; Streptophyta; Magnoliopsida; Fabales; Fabaceae. The record is from Rfam by way of RNAcentral.
AACAACUCUAGUUGUCCAGUGUUUGAUUUGUAAAAUUGUUUCAGGUACAGGAAAAACUGGAGGCAAGGGACAGGACAA